AGUGAACGCUGGCGGUAGGCCUAACACAUGCAAGUCGAACGGCAGCACAGUAAGAGCUUGCUCUUACGGGUGGCGAGUGGCGGACGGGUGAGGAAUACAUCGGAAUCUACUUUUUCGUGGGGGAUAACGUCGGGAAACUUACGCUAAUACCGCAUACGACCUACGGGUGAAGGCAGGGGAUCUUCGGACCUUGCGCGAUUGAAUGAGCCGAUGUCGGAUUAGCUAGUUGGCGGGGUAAAGGCCCACCAAGGCGACGAUCCGUAGCUGGUCUGAGAGGAUGAUCAGCCACACUGGAACUGAGACACGGUCCAGACUCCUACGGGAGGCAGCAGUGGGGAAUAUUGGACAAUGGGCGCAAGCCUGAUCCAGCCAUACCGCGUGGGUGAAGAAGGCCUUCGGGUUGUAAAGCCCUUUUGUUGGGAAAGAAAAGCAGCAGGUUAAUACCCCGCUGUUCUGACGGUACCCAAAGAAUAAGCACCGGCUAACUUCGUG
This 492-nucleotide ribosomal RNA is filed under the name uncultured bacterium. Its description in RNAcentral is "partial 16S ribosomal RNA". It matches the Rfam family "Bacterial small subunit ribosomal RNA", at positions 29 to 507 of the family's 1533-position model. The record is from RNAcentral.